Molecule: non-coding RNA, 73 nt
Organism: Podarcis lilfordi (Lilford's wall lizard)
Lineage: Eukaryota; Metazoa; Chordata; Lepidosauria; Squamata; Lacertidae
Source: the annotation of a GenBank genome assembly
GCUAGUAUAGCUCAGUCAGUAAAGCGUGAGACUCUUAAUCUCAGUGUUGUGGGUUCAAGUCCCAUGCUGGGCA